RNAcentral lists this ribosomal RNA (5442 nucleotides) under Triticum aestivum (bread wheat). Its description in RNAcentral is "partial small subunit ribosomal RNA". Lineage: Eukaryota; Viridiplantae; Streptophyta; Magnoliopsida; Poales; Poaceae. The record is from RNAcentral.
UAAGCGCCACCCGGUCGCGCGCAGUCACGGUUUGGUGUUUGGGGUUUCGUCUCCUCAUCAUCAUCAUGACACCAGACAUCACCCCCAAUGAGGCUUCGAACGGAGCAUGCUAAGAAGGGAGGGGGUACCGCCUCCGCCUUGGCCUUAGCCGCGGGCCUCCGCCUCUCCGGCCGCUCCUGCGCUACCUGCGGUGGCCAGGGCGCCGCCGCGGCCGCCUCCGCCUCCGGCGGCGGGGGCAGGGGCUGCAAUUGUACUUGGGAGACUUCUCCGGUAGCCUCAGCACACGAGUUCCUCUGCUUCGUCUGCCCGUCUUCGCCGUCUUCUGCCUCAGAGUUCAAAAGUGUGGGUCUUCUAUGGUCGAGCUACAGAAACUCCAACGGUUCCGCGCUUUGUGCUAACGUUACGAACUGUGUCCUCGGCCCUUCUGCUACUAACGACACUACGAGUACUUUCUCAAACCCUUUUUCUAACUGUUUAGUUUAUUGUUACCCUUCUAGCAUAAGGAACGUGGUUGUCAAGUCGAGCAGUGUGUCGUUACACUCCACUAAUUUUGGGUGUGUCUAAAACUCCACCUCGACAUAACGCCACGGAGCCCCCAACUAGUGACCUGCGGAGUCUCUACCUUUCUUUUUUAUAGCUUUAGAGUCCAGUACUACUACUAUGGUCUACACAACGAUUCACGAAAUCCGUUUCGAAAGAACUCGAACCUGUACCAAUCAGAAUACUAUAAACUACUCACGGUAGCACGUUGACCGUUUGUGGGAAUAAGCUCUUAUUACUUCCUGAUGAUAGUGGUUAGACUGGUGUUCGGUUUCCACAAACCAUACUGCCGGAGCGGACAAUAUUCCUUUCCACAGAGAAGAUUAGACCUAACACUUCAAGUCAAGUGACUUGACCUUUUCGAAGAUUUACGAUUCUAGAUGUGACACCGACUAUCUCGUCUCUAUCUCGAAACGCGAGGAAGACGUUUUCUUCACCUGUCUAUGAUACUGGGUUUUUGUCAAACAAAGUUCCUAAACUCACUUCUCAACCCUGAAAACGUAAGACUCAUGCUACGCAAUUAUUGAUGUAACGUCUUAUUCGGAUUGACGGUCUUAUUUCUUAGGCUACUUUAUCGAUUUCUUAGUGCCUCCGCAGAUAGGUUAAGAAGUCGGUUUUAGGACAUAACGUAGCUACUAUAACCAGAAGAAACACGAUCACUCCGGUGGUUUUAGAUGUAACUUUCCCCAGUCUCUUUUCCAACCGACUUCUUUCGAAGACUACGGUGUUUAUAAGUUUCACAACGUUUAUCGAGCAAGGACGAACGUCUUUAAAGUCACGAAGUAGACUUCAAGAAACUCCUAUACAGUACAUAUUAACUGUUCGUGGAGGUCGUUCCAUCGCUACACGAAGAUUUAAGACUCUCACCUACACACCUUCGUUAAUUCUGCCCAAUAUAAAGUGGUUUCGAAAUACUUGAGUAGGUUUAGAAGGUGAGAAAGUCGUUGACACUAGUACAGGCUACGGAGUAAAAACACCUAGCUUUCUAGUGACGAUCUCGGUACCUUGCCUGUUACUUCUUUUAACCUGUGGAGAGUGUAAAAUGUAAAAGAAGAGAAUGACCUCCCUCAAGAAGUCACCUGCGAGACUGGGGAUUUUACGUUUUCCUGUGUGACCUAAGUAAAGCGAGACCUUUCCACUUGAAUGAUAAAUGAUGCCUACAGCGUCUUCUCCCAUAACUACAGUGUCUGACGAGCACACAUUAUUCUAAACUAAACGGUUUCUGAUGGGCAUCAAUAUACGUCAGUGCACCUGCUCGUGCGGUCUUCCUGAGAGUCAUGUAUGAUUACUAACUUUCCCUUUUACAAUUUGUUUUAUUAAACUAUAGACGGUAAAACUCUUCGCUCUUCAGUUACCAACUCUGACGAAACUUGUCUCUAAGGCUCCUAGAUGAGGGACCAAAGAAGGGUCAACUUCUUUUUUUACUUAUGGAACAUCCGUGUUGGCCUCGUUUUCAUUGACGACCAAGAUCGCAAUCACAAUAGCAGGUUAUGACACUGUUCGAAGGUCCUCUGUUCAUGCUGUGGUGUUUUGGAAACAAACUCAAGUGGUUGGUGCCACUACCAAAACACACAUGCAAUUGUGAUGGUAGAUCACUGUACAACGGUGGAAACCACCCAGGUUUUCGUUCUUUGUUCUUCUUUCGUUUUGUCGAACAAACAGAACUACGUACAUUCGUCGACGUAGUCGAUCCUCAUGAAUGACUGAGAGAAACAGAUAGACAACUUCUCGGUGGUGACCUUAGACACUUGUUUUGACUGCAAGAGUGUAGAAACCGACCACAUCCAUGUUGGUUUGCUUUCCUCGAUGUACCAUGUUGAUCUCAUACACCCAACAGACCAUGGACCCGUAGUCUCUCUUGACGACAAUUCGAAGUUCCGAUGUCUUACUUUAAAGAAACACUGGUUCAACCAGUCUUUAUGAGGCUAAAACAAGACAAUUAACUAUUUUGAUAUCGUGUACUUCGACGAUUAAACCUAUAACUAGACAAAGAUGUACUGUUCUACCACUUUCGAAGUCAGAGAGGAACACCGGAAAAACUCAACCUACAAGUUGUCUACCUCGUUCGUUUCGAUAAAGUUCGUGAAGACAAGUUACCAAACAAACCUUUCAACAAGUGACCUAGUUUUAGUAGGCUGCAAGGCGCCCUCAAAUAAGAGUUAUUUCUACUGUGCAAAUAGACCUUAUUAGGUUUAUACAUAAACUAAAAUGGAUACCUAGGAUGACACCUCAGGGUACUAUAAUGUACGUAGUUGACCUCUCACUAACUACUUCGGCGUUGUCGACAAUUUGAAAACUCCUUCUAAAUAAGACUUCUUUUUUACUUGUAUGUCCCUUAUGAACUAAAGCUGGUUUUACUACUUCUAGAUUAAGUAAAGCGGUUGUGAAGUACACUCUGAGUAAAGGAAUCUUUACACCAUCACGACCGUCAGGUGUGUCCUUUCUAUAUAUGACGAGAAGUACAACGGCUAGAUAGACGGUUAUCGUGUAAACUACCACAUAGUCUACUUUUUCCUUGUCUCAAGGCGUGGAAACGUCUUAUGAAACUCUUCUUCAUACCGUAUCAAGAAGCAGUAGGGAGUGUCGGUGAUGAUCACGACUUUGGGUCAGUAUCCGGAGUGUUGUAAGAAAGGAGCUUCGAGUCUCUACUUCCAUUGCCACUCUUCUUUUUCCCACCGUGUAGUCUAUAUUGAUUCCGUUUGUUGGCACAAGUGUACGGGGGUCUCAACGACUAAGGGGAAUUAAAAAGACUACUGUAAAAUUCUUGUAAAAUAAACAAGGGUAGAAACUACGUAGCAUAUCUCCGUAAUUACGAUCGGUCAGUUGAUUUCUCACUUUAAAGUAUACUGCUAAGAUUACAUAGUUCGAAAGACUAAGAUCUUCGAUAGUGUUGAGAAGCUACGAGACUUCUGAAGAGUUACCUCGCAGACCUUAAUAACCCUCUAAGACACAACUUCAUACAGCAAUCAACAGUGGAAAAGGAUUUUAAAGGAUUGUACCUACUCCCCGUCAAUUGUAGGUCAUCCCAACUAUAUUAUAGAUUACGACGUGAAAUACCCAAACCUUAACUUGUGUUUUAUGUCCCAAUAUAUGCACUACGACGUAAACUAGGAGCAGCUACCGAACGUGGUCCUGUCGAGAGGUAAGUAGGACAAGGAACAUUAACGGUUCAUUUAAGACUCCAACAGUGACUCCUAUAAUUACACUUUCAUCCGGUCGACACACUAUUCCCUGUGUCUACCUACACAAGGUUUUGUUAAAGACUAACGCAGCUUCGAUAUUAGCCACGUAUAAUACAUCUUCCACCGAAUUCUCGUCGAUACCGACAAGAGUUUACCAACCCUUAAUUACAACUUCAACUCCUUCUUAACUAACCAGUCAAGAACUCACGUAGACACGUCUGAAUAGAAGGUUUUUUACUACAUUAACUUUUCCAACUUCGUUUUGAUCCGAUACAUAAAAACUACUUUCCAGAAGACGAUCUUCGAGAAUGGGUGGGUAGUGACGUCCUUAGUCGUCUUCCUAUAAGGAUGCUCGCAGACCUCAAGGAACCACUACGACAGAACCUAUAAGAAAAUUGUGCUGUAGAAAAGAGAUCAGUAUUUCUGUGGCUACUCCCCCUCGACUGUCUAAAUGCCAGACGUAGUCAUUUGUUACUUUUAAAACGUGUUGAGCGUCACUUCGUAUUCAAUAUAGUCAAAGAGGUCGUAAGAAGACCCUUUAAUGGUCUUUUAUAAUGACUUAUACACCUAUCAAAUCUCUUAAGAAGGUGCCUGUUUGAGUUGGAAAAUAGUCUACGCCGUAAUUCUCCCGGAUUCCAAGACCCACUACAACAUCUUUCAUAACGCCCACGUUAAGAAUAUCUAUCUUUUGAACUAAACCUCCAUCAAACCCCAUAAAAGUUUGGAGAAGAAAGGGGAUAACAAUGUGGACUCUUCGACCUCAAUGGAGGGAAGUCUCUCGAAGAGCUUACCACGUUGUUUUCACCCAUGAAAGAUCCUUAAUUCACAUGUCUACCUUAAUUCGCAUGUCUACCUCUGUUUUAUCUCCGAUGAGACCUACACGUUGAGUUCCUCUGCGAGGAACAGUCCGUUCCAACACCGUUCUCGUUUUUCCUACGAUUUCGUGUACGUCGAAGGUACAAUGAGUUCCUGGAACUCCUCCUUCCUGAAUAUCAUGGUUUCUUACGUUCGUUGUGCGUUGUCAAGGUCCUAGUAGCAUUGUAAAAACUACGUUACCUAUAUGUUGAAAGUUGUGGUUGGUCCCCUUUCGCUAGUCGACCUAGUUUCUAUCGACGGUCAGAACUAUUUGGUCACCUGACCGGCCACUCUUACUCGUUUCCUCCUGGGGCACGUCCUGACAUACUCAAGACGUUUUUCAAUGUUACCGGUCGAGGGUUAAAGCUAACACGCUUCCAUCUUGUUUCGUGCGGAUGCGGAGUUCCAGUUCCCAAGUGGAAGCGCAGUUGGUAUUUUGACGUGUAUGGCUUAUCACUACACUAGUCGGAGUGUCCCCUAACGAAACGCCUAUUCUUCUCGCGCUACCUAAGGCGGCGUGACGAGUACGAGAUACUCGAAGUCGUCGCUCCCUCUAACGUUCAGGUCCUCUAAGCAGAAGGGACUCUCGGGGCACACCACGAUCAUUUAUAAUGAUCAUCAUAAGGGAUAACUGGCCCGUCCAAAACUUCCAUACACACCGUAGAAGGCUUAUUUACCUACGACUCCUAUGAACACUCUCCGUCUUGUGUCGAUUCGACUGGACCGAGACGACGGUCAGCAAUACAUACAACAUGAAACAAUUUUUCUUUACAUACAACACGAACCGAAGUAUAACCGACUCCGUCCUUUACUACUCGGCUUCACGACGUUCAGGUGACAGAUAGUCAUGAAGUGUCCGAGCCAG